UGGCUUCACAAAGGUAAAUAUUUGAUAUUGAUGUUUAUCAAGUGAAUAGUUUGAACAAGUAUUUUCUUUAUUUUUUUUUCUUUUGUUUUUUUCCCCUAUUGGGCCAUUAAGAAUCAAUCCUCCAGGCUGAGCAUUUAUGUUCCUUUAGUCAUUGAGGAUCAAUCCUCUGGACUAAGCACUUAUAUUUCUUAGGUCAAUCAAAAUCACUCUCUAGACUAGGUAUUUAUGUUUUUUGAGCCACUACAAAUGAACACCCAAACUUGAUGCUUAAAAAUAUGAAUUUUUGCAAUCAAUAUUUAUUUAAAUUAAUAGUUUGGAAAAAUCCAAUUGUUCUUUUAGUGUGCUGGCUUAAGGUAGGAAUUCAAGGAUAAAUUACCUUAUUUAUUUGAAGUUAUGUGAUUAGAAGUUUAUCUGCAAAACCCAUGUUUUCUGAUACAGUUGAGUAGGCUUCUUUUCUUAGAUAGUAGGUUAAAUGGAAGUAAUCACAGAAAUGCAUGUCAGUGCCUCUAUUCUUACGUUAUAGAUACGUUUCUUGUUUUUUUUAUUUUGUUUCCCUUAGUCUACCUUUUUUGUGCUUCUCGAACCUCUCUCGUGUAUCCUCUCUUCUUGCAUUGUCUAUUUCUUUAAUUAGGUUUUUUUUUUUGCUUCCUUGACUCAACUUUUCUAUGUCUCUCAAUUUUUGCACCUUGCAAGUGUUGUUAGAUAGUAUUUUUUUAGAUAUCCUAACAAACAAGUAAAUAAUAAUAAUAAUAAUAAAUACUUUCACAUAUUAUACCAAAAUAAAAAAAAUCAUAAAAAAUUUAUGUAUCAUUUUUAAUAAAUAUUGCAAGAAAAAAUAAAAAUUACUAAUUGAAAUUCUUGCAUUGUUACUUUUAUUGGCAAAAAAUGACAGUGUUCAUAAAAAAACUACAAACAAUAAAUUAGUAAAAGAAUUGUAUUUAUUUGAGUGAUAAACAUAUUAUUGUCAAAUGUUUGUACAUUUAUAAGUUGUCUGUCUUUUUAUAGAAAACUUAAACAAACACAAAUUCACAAGGAAGAAACAUAAAACUUUACAUAAUGUGAAUUCUAAAAAAACAUUUUAAAGGGUGUGACAAUAAAGCAAGGUGAUUGUGUGAUAUAAUUGCACAACUCAUAACUAUGUUGGAACCUAUUGGUUCCAACGCUCUGUGAACAAAAUUGACAAACAUGUAAUACUAAUAGUAUAGCAGAUGUUCAUGUAUUCAGA
Molecule: long non-coding RNA, 1225 nt
Filed under: Physcomitrium patens
Lineage: Eukaryota; Viridiplantae; Streptophyta; Bryopsida; Funariales; Funariaceae
Description: long non-coding RNA (PPAT_LNC009464)
Source: RNAcentral